Molecule: ribosomal RNA, 474 nt
Filed under: uncultured bacterium
Lineage: Bacteria
Description: bacterial SSU rRNA
Rfam family: Bacterial small subunit ribosomal RNA
Source: RNAcentral
AUUGAACGCUGGCGGCAUGCCUUACACAUGCAAGUCGAACGGCAGCAUGGGUGCUUGCACCUGAUGGCGAGUGGCGAACGGGUGAGUAAUGUAUCGGAACAUGCCCUGAAGUGGGGGAUAACGUAGCGAAAGUUACGCUAAUACCGCAUAUUCUGUGAGCAGGAAAGCAGGGGAUCGCAAGACCUUGCGCUUUAGGAGUGGCCGAUAUCGGAUUAGCUAGUUGGUGAGGUAAAGGCUCACCAAGGCGACGAUCCGUAGCCGGCCUGAGAGGGCGACCGGCCACACUGGGACUGAGACACGGCCCAGACUCCUACGGGAGGCAGCAGUGGGGAAUAUUGCACAAUGGGCGAAAGCCUGAUGCAGCGACGCCGCGUGAGGGGUGACGGCCUCGGUUGUAACGUACUUCUAGCAGGAAGAAGACGCAAGUGAGGUACUGCAGAGAAGACACCGGCUACUAACGUGCCAGCAGCCGAC